UGAAUUCAUAAUAUUGAUUGAACAUCAUACAUGAAGAUACAGCUAGUAGUAAGCAGUAGCUUCUGUUUUUUUUUUUUUUGUUAUUUGAGAUACAACUGUAAUAUAUGGCUAUUCCAAUCUAUUUAACUUCUCCAUUCAGGAGCAAGAAUACAGUUGAAGUUCUCCUCGAGGACCUCAACGAAAGAAUUCCUGGCUGGUAUGGUGAUGUUGAAUCCAUGGCUGUCUCGUUUGAGCAUUUAAGUUCAUCUUGUUUAGGAUGUAAGACCAAAUCCGAAAGGAAAUAGAGGAUUUGAAUUCCCGUGAACAUGCAUUGGAAUUUGAUCAACAGUUUUAAACCAUGUCACUGGUAGUUUCCCUUGAAAUGGAUAGUCUCCAAAAAGGACAUCUGUGAUUCCAUCUCCUUCAGUUCCAGGCAACCAAG
This 421-nucleotide unclassified non-coding RNA is filed under the name Hevea brasiliensis (rubber tree). The record is from RNAcentral. Lineage: Eukaryota; Viridiplantae; Streptophyta; Magnoliopsida; Malpighiales; Euphorbiaceae.